AUGUAAGCGCAAGCUGACUGCUUAUGCAUGAGCAUUUGUCCGCAGUGUUUCUCAGCAUGCGAGUCAUUAGCCACAUUUGUUUGAGGAUGGCCUUCAGCUCA
Molecule: ribosomal RNA, 101 nt
Filed under: Symbiodinium sp. clade B
Lineage: Eukaryota; Dinophyceae; Suessiales; Symbiodiniaceae
Description: partial large subunit ribosomal RNA
Source: RNAcentral